AGUAAUACACCACUACAAUAGGGAAAACCGUGCAGCUGAACUGAACACAACCUGGGUUUGUACAGAGGCGACUGGGCAUCACAAAGGGAGAGCGAGGGAACAGGGAGGGCGCUGAGAGGGGCUCAGUAGUCAGGGAGGCGAAAAUGACGGAAAGCGGGAAGGGCGGGUUGGGCCACGUGACACCCAGCUGCGUCUGCUGAAGGGAGCUUACGAUGUUCGGCCCCCACCCUCCCACAGAGGCUGGGAGACGAGCCCUGUCCUCAGGCGUUGCCUGGAAAAGACAGUAAAUUCCUCAAGCAGGCGUUUCAGAGGGACGAGGGUCAUUCUAGGGAUGUGAACCCGAGCUGUUAGAAACUGUGUUAGCGUUUCUUCAAUUAGAGGUCCAGGUUGAGGCCCGACUGAGAAGAGGGCUCAAGAUCCCGGCCAGACUCUGGUCUGGGAGAGGCUUCGUCAGCAUAUCCCAGCAGCAGCCUACUGCUAAACGAUGAUAGAAAAAAUAACGUAUCUGUUUCCUCGUGCGCCACGCACUAUUCCUAACCAUGAACUUAAUGAUAAACGAGUCGCGACUGCUUGAAGAGCAAAGUUUUCACCCUGAAGAUAAAAGAAGGCCACGCAAUGAGGUUGGAUGGGAGAGCGGCAGAACCGACCGAGGGCCUCCUGCAGGCGCGCCCAGCCCUCCCUGCGACCCCCUCGGCCUGAGUCCUCGGCGGUUGACCCCGGGAACCAGUGGACACGUGCGGGGCGCGAGAGGUCGCGCCUGUGCCCGAGAAGGACCCACCCCAGGAGCAGACGAGCCGACCCUGCACGUCUGGAGAUGACCUGACGGCUCGUGCUCACACGUCCGAUCUCCCCUUCCAUCCUGUUCCUCUCUGAAUUUUUAAUUUCAUUUAAUCUUGGGUAGUUUAAAGUUGAAUUUACAAAAUCGAACUUGGUUCAGUUAUUGAAAAAUCCUUACGUAUGUCUGGAACAACUUGGG
Molecule: long non-coding RNA, 976 nt
Organism: Equus caballus (horse)
Lineage: Eukaryota; Metazoa; Chordata; Mammalia; Perissodactyla; Equidae
Source: Ensembl